Molecule: long non-coding RNA, 1785 nt
Filed under: Daucus carota (carrot)
Lineage: Eukaryota; Viridiplantae; Streptophyta; Magnoliopsida; Apiales; Apiaceae
Description: long non-coding RNA (DCAR_LNC005047)
Source: RNAcentral
GACAAACUUAAUUUACAUGCUUUCUUCCAUGAAACGGUAUGAAUAUCACUUUAAGAUUAAAGUCCCAUAGAUUUAACAGAAGUGUCUCAUAAUCCAUAUUUUGAAAAUUAUACAACAAUUGUCCCUACCACUUAUAACAAAAAUUUCUAUAACUGACCUAGAAAAUUAUACAACAAUUAUUCUUACCACUUAUAACAAAAUUUCCAAUGAUUGACCCACAAAAGGAUAAUAAUCACACUAAUAUUCAUGACCAAUAUAAUUGUUUAAAAUUCAAUUUCUUACAUGUCAUAAAUGAUUAACAAUAUAAAGAUAAAGACAUUAUUUUCAAAAAAAAACAUAAAGAUAAAGACAUGGUACAAUCGAAUUUGUUGACGAUGUCUUGGACAUAAAAGCAGCUCCGACGAUAAUAAUUUUGUUACCCACUUUCUAUCUUGGGAAGACCAACAUGAAGUUGUGCACAAAUAAUAUAACCAGCUCUCUUUAGUGGGCAUGGCCAACUGCACAGGCACAUUUUUGUGGUGCAGGGAAUAGCAUGGAAAUAUAUCAAGGCCGAGGAAAGUCUAAGAAAAUCUCAAAACUUUCACAAGCCAUCCACCAACUCCAAGAAGCAUGUGAAUGAUACGGAAUAUAAUACGGAGAGCUCGAAGACAGGGGAUGGCGAAGGACACUGAUCAAGAAGAAAACAGGACCGAGGUUUGCUGAGUCUGCAAGGCUGAAUUCCCCUACGGUCAGAUUCUUACGGAAAUAGAGAAAUACGGUUGGAGUUUGAUGGUCAAAGCCUUUACGGUCUUACCCGAAAAAGAGGAGCAAGUUAGUAACAAUAAUAAUCAAAAUUAAAAAAUUCACAACUAAAUAUACUUUUUUCAUCGAUGUUAGAAAGGCCGAGCAUUUUUAAAUUCUUCUCGUUAAGAAGCUCCCACGAGAGUCAUUGACCGUUAUCUUGGAUCAGCUCCUCAUAGGUAGUUUUAUCUACAUCAGAGAGAUGGGUGGAGUCCGCGUUUCCAUCAAUUACCUUGCCGAAGCUCAAACGGAACAAUGUUCCCUGUCACCCCCUUAUCAAAUCAUUUAAAGAAUUCCUUUUUCUAGUUUGUGUUGUUCACGGCGAUCGAGGUGCUAUUAAUAAUAUGGGGCUUAUUCGGUCUGUGGUUAAUUGAACUGCUGGCAGAGUUCUUAAAUUGAAAUUUUUUACUAAACAAAGGAACGGACAUAGUAAUGCCCUUUGAAAGGUACUAGACCAUUAAACAAUGGAUGAUCCUCCAAGCAUUGGGUGCAAACUGAAAUGGGUGUAUUUGAACUUCAGCUAAGAGUGUGCAAAUAAAAAGGAUGGAGAAAUAUAAAGCCCGGAUAAAAUGGCAUCCUUGUAUACAAAGAGGGAUUAUGGAUCCCGGUGACAAGUCUGAUCCCUGGCUUCAGCUAAAGCUAACCUGAGGGGGGAGGAAGGUUCAUUCUUUUACUAUAAGUAUUAACAGAAGCUUGACUAAAGGUAGAAGCAAAGCUGUAAGAAUCUAAACUAGUUAAGUUAUGGUAGUUGUCCCCCCACAAAUUGAUUAAUUCGAACAAAGACAUAUUGAGAAAUUAUUCGGGAUGAGUAUACCUCUCUUUACUUAGCUAAAACUCCUCUUAGCGAGCCUUGCUUUGUUUUUAUAUGCCAUGAUUCUCGAAGAGAAGAAGCUUGAUGAAAGUACUUGGACGAAAGAAGAAGUCAGUUGUUGGAAAGAGAGCGCUUGGAAAAGCUAGAGAAGAGAAACUAUGUUAUGUAAAAAGCAUGAGGAUUCUAGCCAUAUU